Molecule: long non-coding RNA, 1239 nt
Organism: Rattus norvegicus (Norway rat)
Lineage: Eukaryota; Metazoa; Chordata; Mammalia; Rodentia; Muridae
Source: RefSeq, a predicted model, not a curated record
AGAGGACAUUCAUUGCGCCUGUGCGGUUGCGCUAGGCACGCUGGGAAAUGUAGUUUCCAAUUUGCCACUAAUAGGCCUGAGGAAUGGACACAAGAUGGCGCCCGAGCGUCGCAGUUGGUUCAAACGAGCAGUAGUCUCUGCCGACGCUGUUGCUGCGGCCUGACGAGAGGCUGCCCAGGCCUGAAAGGUCGAACUCUUGGAUGCCCUGCCUCUGGGGCGUCUACCUUGCCGAGUAGGGGCCGAAGCCGGAGUUAAGAGGAGGGUUUGAUAUUGCUGUGUUUUUAAACAGCCUAAUGAGGUGUUACCCUGACUCUGGGUAUGGGGUGACCACUGGUGAUCCUGCGUCGGCAUAAGGAGAAGGCUUUGAAGGGUCCUUGUGGAUAAGAGGUUGCUUGGAGAGGCGUCCAUGACUGUAUCCCUGCUUUUUAAGCUGAGCAUGCAGGACGCAGAGCUGCCCGACACUGUUGAUCUCACCAGCCUUCAGCACUAGCUCAGCAAUCUGAUGUGACUCCUGCUUAGCUGCCGGAGGAAAGGCAGCCCCAGAUUUGCUCAGUAAUGGAACUAGCUUCCCUGUAUUCCUCCUUCUGACCUCACGGAAACCACACAGACUGAUUUAAAUGACUCUUAUUCCAGAGAGACUCAGAAGCUGAGCCCUAGCUGUGUGUAAAUGAACUGCGUUGCUUUAAAACAGAAACCAAAGAGACAAGGGGGUGCUUAUGGCUUUCCAGUUUUGAGUACAGGAAAGUGAUGGAGCCAGGGCUGAGGCCCACAGUUCCCCUCCCAGAGAUACCCAGCUCUUCUGGACUUUAGUGUGAGGAUAGGCCUGGGAAUUCCCCCAAGGGUUUGGGAAAGGCACAUUUAUGAAACUGGAUGUACUGUGAUGUUCAUGUCUGGUGUCAGUUCCUCUCAGGACAUUAAGGGAGGCACUGGGCACACUUACCCCUGAUCCGUGUAGUGUGCCAGUGUCACAGGCACAGAGCACAGUCUUGGCACUGGGCACACUUACCCCUGAUCCGUGUAGUGUGUCAAAUGUCACAGGCACAGAGCACAGUCUUGGCACUAGGGUGAAUAGGAUAAUGAUGGGAGCACUAAUUCAAUUAUUUCUUUAUUUUUAAUUUUUUUAGACAAGGUCUUACUGUAUAGCCCUGGGUGUCUUCAACCUCCCCAUGUAGGCCUCAAAUUCAGAGGUCUCUCUCCCUCUCCCUCCAAAGGGUAGGGAAUAAAAAGCCUGUGCCCCUA